RNAcentral lists this ribosomal RNA (253 nucleotides) under uncultured bacterium. RNAcentral describes it as "partial 16S ribosomal RNA". It matches the Rfam family "Bacterial small subunit ribosomal RNA", at positions 524 to 776 of the family's 1533-position model. The record is from RNAcentral.
UACGAAGGGGGCUAGCGUUGUUCGGAAUUACUGGGCGUAAAGCGCGCGCAGGCGGCUAUCCAAGUCAGUGGUGAAAGCCCGGAGCUUAACUCCGGAACUGCCAUUGAAACUGUUUGGCUUGAGGACGAGAGAGGUGAGUGGAAUUCCCAGUGUAGAGGUGAAAUUCGUAGAUAUUGGGAAGAACACCGGUGGCGAAGGCGGCUCACUGGCUCGUUUCUGACGCUCAGGCGCGACAGCGUGGGGAUCAAACAGG